UACGUAGGGCGCAAGCGUUGUCCGGAAUUAUUGGGCGUAAAGAGCUCGUAGGUGGUUUGUCGCGUCUGCCGUGAAAGCCCGGGGCUUAACUCCGGGUCUGCGGUGGAUACGGGCAGACUAGAGGCAGGUAGGGGAGAACAGAAUUCCCGGUGUAGCGGUGAAAUGCGCAGAUAUCGGGAGGAACAUCAGUGGCGAAGGCGGCCUGCUGGGCUGUUGCUGACGCUGAGGCGCGACAGCGUGGGGAGCAAACAGG
This 253-nucleotide ribosomal RNA is filed under the name uncultured bacterium. Its description in RNAcentral is "partial 16S ribosomal RNA". It matches the Rfam family "Bacterial small subunit ribosomal RNA", at positions 524 to 776 of the family's 1533-position model. The record is from RNAcentral.